This 466-nucleotide ribosomal RNA is filed under the name uncultured bacterium. RNAcentral's name for it is "partial 16S ribosomal RNA". It matches the Rfam family "Bacterial small subunit ribosomal RNA", at positions 28 to 507 of the family's 1533-position model. The record is from RNAcentral.
GAUGAACGCUGGCGGCGUGCUUAACACAUGCAAGUCGAACGAUGAAGCCCAGCUUGCUGGGUGGAUUAGUGGCGAACGGGUGAGUAACACGUGAGUAACCUGCCCUUAACUCUGGGAUAAGCCUGGGAAACUGGGUCUAAUACCGGAUAGGAGCGCCUACCGCAUGGUGGGUGUUGGAAAGCUUUAUCGGUUUUGGAUGGACUCGCGGCCUAUCAGCUUGUUGGUGAGGUAAUGGCUCACCAAGGCGACGACGGGUAGCCGGCCUGAGAGGGUGAGCGGCGACACUGGGACUGAGACACGGCCCAGACUGCUACGGGAGGAAGCAGUGGGGAAGAUUGCACAAUGGGCGAAAGCCUGAUGCAGCGACGCCGCGUGAGGGAUGACGGCCUUCGGGGUGUAAACCUCUUUCAGUAGGGAAGAAGCGAAAGUGACGGUACCUGCAGAAGAAGCACCGGCUAACUACGUG